RNAcentral lists this ribosomal RNA (2643 nucleotides) under Staphylococcus aureus M0722. Its description in RNAcentral is "bacterial LSU rRNA". It matches the Rfam family "Bacterial large subunit ribosomal RNA". Lineage: Bacteria; Bacillati; Bacillota; Bacilli; Caryophanales; Staphylococcaceae. RNAcentral also lists the same sequence under 1 other name. The record is from RNAcentral.
AAGCUUGCUUGUUGGGGUUGUAGGACACUCUAUACGGAGUUACAAAGGACGACAUUAGACGAAUCAUCUGGAAAGAUGAAUCAAAGAAGGUAAUAAUCCUGUAGUCGAAAAUGUUGUCUCUCUUGAGUGGAUCCUGAGUAAGACGGAGCACGUGAAAUUCCGUCGGAAUCUGGGAGGACCAUCUCCUAAGGCUAAAUACUCUCUAGUGACCGAUAGUGAACCAGUACCGUGAGGGAAAGGUGAAAAGCACCCCGGAAGGAGAGUGAAAUAGAACCUGAAACCGUGUGCUUACAAGUAGUCAGAGCCCGUUAAUGGGUGAUGGCGUGCCUUUUGUAGAAUGAACCGGCGAGUUACGAUUUGAUGCAAGGUUAAGCAGUAAAUGUGGAGCCGUAGCGAAAGCGAGUCUGAAUAGGGCGUUUAGUAUUUGGUCGUAGACCCGAAACCAGGUGAUCUACCCUUGGUCAGGUUGAAGUUCAGGUAACACUGAAUGGAGGACCGAACCGACUUACGUUGAAAAGUGAGCGGAUGAACUGAGGGUAGCGGAGAAAUUCCAAUCGAACCUGGAGAUAGCUGGUUCUCUCCGAAAUAGCUUUAGGGCUAGCCUCAAGUGAUGAUUAUUGGAGGUAGAGCACUGUUUGGACGAGGGGCCCCUCUCGGGUUACCGAAUUCAGACAAACUCCGAAUGCCAAUUAAUUUAACUUGGGAGUCAGAACAUGGGUGAUAAGGUCCGUGUUCGAAAGGGAAACAGCCCAGACCACCAGCUAAGGUCCCAAAAUAUAUGUUAAGUGGAAAAGGAUGUGGCGUUGCCCAGACAACUAGGAUGUUGGCUUAGAAGCAGCCAUCAUUUAAAGAGUGCGUAAUAGCUCACUAGUCGAGUGACACUGCGCCGAAAAUGUACCGGGGCUAAACAUAUUACCGAAGCUGUGGAUUGUCCUUUGGACAAUGGUAGGAGAGCGUUCUAAGGGCGUUGAAGCAUGAUCGUAAGGACAUGUGGAGCGCUUAGAAGUGAGAAUGCCGGUGUGAGUAGCGAAAGACGGGUGAGAAUCCCGUCCACCGAUUGACUAAGGUUUCCAGAGGAAGGCUCGUCCGCUCUGGGUUAGUCGGGUCCUAAGCUGAGGCCGACAGGCGUAGGCGAUGGAUAACAGGUUGAUAUUCCUGUACCACCUAUAAUCGUUUUAAUCGAUGGGGGGACGCAGUAGGAUAGGCGAAGCGUGCGAUUGGAUUGCACGUCUAAGCAGUAAGGCUGAGUAUUAGGCAAAUCCGGUACUCGUUAAGGCUGAGCUGUGAUGGGGAGAAGACAUUGAGUCUUCGAGUCGUUGAUUUCACACUGCCGAGAAAAGCCUCUAGAUAGAAAAUAGGUGCCCGUACCGCAAACCGACACAGGUAGUCAAGAUGAGAAUUCUAAGGUGAGCGAGCGAACUCUCGUUAAGGAACUCGGCAAAAUGACCCCGUAACUUCGGGAGAAGGGGUGCUCUUUAGGGUUAACGCCCAGAAGAGCCGCAGUGAAUAGGCCCAAGCGACUGUUUAUCAAAAACACAGGUCUCUGCUAAACCGUAAGGUGAUGUAUAGGGGCUGACGCCUGCCCGGUGCUGGAAGGUUAAGAGGAGUGGUUAGCUUCUGCGAAGCUACGAAUCGAAGCCCCAGUAAACGGCGGCCGUAACUAUAACGGUCCUAAGGUAGCGAAAUUCCUUGUCGGGUAAGUUCCGACCCGCACGAAAGGCGUAACGAUUUGGGCACUGUCUCAACGAGAGACUCGGUGAAAUCAUAGUACCUGUGAAGAUGCAGGUUACCCGCGACAGGACGGAAAGACCCCGUGGAGCUUUACUGUAGCCUGAUAUUGAAAUUCGGCACAGCUUGUACAGGAUAGGUAGGAGCCUUUGAAACGUGAGCGCUAGCUUACGUGGAGGCGCUGGUGGGAUACUACCCUAGCUGUGUUGGCUUUCUAACCCGCACCACUUAUCGUGGUGGGAGACAGUGUCAGGCGGGCAGUUUGACUGGGGCGGUCGCCUCCUAAAAGGUAACGGAGGCGCUCAAAGGUUCCCUCAGAAUGGUUGGAAAUCAUUCAUAGAGUGUAAAGGCAUAAGGGAGCUUGACUGCGAGACCUACAAGUCGAGCAGGGUCGAAAGACGGACUUAGUGAUCCGGUGGUUCCGCAUGGAAGGGCCAUCGCUCAACGGAUAAAAGCUACCCCGGGGAUAACAGGCUUAUCUCCCCCAAGAGUUCACAUCGACGGGGAGGUUUGGCACCUCGAUGUCGGCUCAUCGCAUCCUGGGGCUGUAGUCGGUCCCAAGGGUUGGGCUGUUCGCCCAUUAAAGCGGUACGCGAGCUGGGUUCAGAACGUCGUGAGACAGUUCGGUCCCUAUCCGUCGUGGGCGUAGGAAAUUUGAGAGGAGCUGUCCUUAGUACGAGAGGACCGGGAUGGACAUACCUCUGGUGUACCAGUUGUCGUGCCAACGGCAUAGCUGGGUAGCUAUGUGUGGACGGGAUAAGUGCUGAAAGCAUCUAAGCAUGAAGCCCCCCUCAAGAUGAGAUUUCCCAACUUCGGUUAUAAGAUCCCUCAAAGAUGAUGAGGUUAAUAGGUUCGAGGUGGAAGCAUGGUGACAUGUGGAGCUGACGAAUACUAAUCGAUCGAAGACUUAAUCAA